UAGGGAAUAUUGCGCAAUGGAGGAAACUCUGACGCAGCGACGCCGCGUGGGUGAUGAAGGCUUUCGGGUCGUAAAGCCCUGUCGGAAGAGAAGAAAAAUACUGUGGCUAACAUCCAUAGUACUUGACGGUACCUUCAGAGGAAGCACCGGCUAACUACGUGCCAGCAGCCGCGGUAAUACGUAGGGUGCUAGCGUUGUUCGGAAUCAUUGGGCGUAAAGCGCGUGUAGGUGGUUAUGUAAGUCGGAUGUGAAAUCCCUGGGCUCAACCGAGGAAGUGCAUUCGAAACUACAUAGCUAGAGGACAGUAGAGGAAGGUGGAAUUCCAAGUGUAGAGGUGAAAUUCGUAGAUAUUUGGAGGAAUACCGGUGGCGAAGGCGGCCUUCUGGGCUGGCCCUGACACUGAGACGCGAAAGCGUGGGUAGCAAACAGGAUUAGAUACCCUAGUAGUCCCUGAGCGGGCUGGCAAGGCGCAU
RNAcentral lists this ribosomal RNA (473 nucleotides) under uncultured bacterium. RNAcentral describes it as "bacterial SSU rRNA". It matches the Rfam family "Bacterial small subunit ribosomal RNA", at positions 355 to 825 of the family's 1533-position model. The record is from RNAcentral.